UCUGGGGCUGCUUCUCGAGUCCAGGACCCGGAGGGGGGAAGCUGGGCUGGGUUCGGGGGCCCAGGUGGAGUCGGGACAAGGAGGGAGAAAGUUGGGGCUGAGUUGGGGGACCAGAGAGAGAAAGUGGGGGCGGACCGGCUCCGGGGGCACAUGACGGCGGCGCCCGCCCCGCCCCGCGCCCGCCCCCUGUCCGGCCCGGGGGGAGGAGACGGGAAGGUUUUAAAAGCGAUUCGGCCCCGCGGCGGGCCGGCCAGUGAGUGGGAUGGAGCCGGGCCCGCGACCGACCCCGGCCCGUCUCGGGUCCGCCGCCCGCCCGCGUCUCUGCCGCCGGGCCCGGGGCGGCGGCCGGAGCCCCGAGUGCCGGCUCCCCUCCCCCGCGGGUGAGUCGGGGAGGGAACCGGGAGGGAGGCGGCGGCGCCGCGGCGACGGCGGCAACUUUUCUGCGCCGGACUCGUGGGCGGAGUGGGGGGGGUGCGCCCGGCGGGUCCCCAGCGCUUGGAGAGGGGGAGGGCGCCGCCCCGCCGCCGGUGGCUGUGUGUGUGUGUGGGGGUGGGGGGUGCAGCGGGGAUCGUGCAUCUGGCGGCGGCGGUGGCGGCAGAGUCCCGGGGCGCCCCCUACGGAGCGGGGGAAGGGCAGCCCAACAUUUACCCCCUCCCCAGGAGACCCCUGGCCACUCCCCCCACCGGAGACCCUUGAGAGCGUGGUGGGGAGGGCGGGUCCCAUAGUCACGGGGGCAGGUCCAGGUGGGCCGGGAGUCAGCGGCAGGGUGGGAAGGGGGAGGGCAUAUGCCCGGGCUGGGGUGGGGAGGGAUGGAUACACACGGGUACCUGGGCUCCUAGGGUGCCUCUCAGGGCUUUGGUGGGGAUGGGGCUGGAGGAGUGGGUGGGUGGGGGUCUCCCAGAGUUCCGUGGAUGGCGGGUGACACGGUGGUUCAAGCUCUUGACAUGUGGGCCAACGAGUGGAGGGAAGGCCUUCCAUUGAGCAGAUGGGCUUGGGGGCCCAAGGUGUAGCCCCAGCUUGGUGGAGAUUGGGGCACCCCUCCUCUCCCUCUUGGCUCCUCCGGGCCCAGGAGAGAGGAGCUCAUUCAAGGCUGCUUAGGAAGGGGGCCAGGUGUGGGAGAUUCCUGGAGGGAUGACUCCCCAGUCCUGUGCCCCGCGAGCGGCCCGCAGUCCUCAUGCCCUUGGGCUGCAGGCCCCUGACUAAAACCUGAACCUUAUAUUCUAGCCCCACACUGACCUCUGACCCCAGCACUGGACUUGACUGCCACCAGAGCCCCCAGCCCUACACUGACUUGCCUAUUCAGCCCAGCCAGGCCCAGCCAGACCCAGUGGCCUCCCGAAUGCCUUGAAGGUGCCAACCUCCGGUCCCACCCGGUGCCCCCCAACCCCUGUGCCAUGGCCGGCUGGGGUUCCUGGGGAUGGGAUUUGCUGCCUGUCACAAAUCACAUUGCCAGGGAUUUCCAACCGACCCUGAGCCCUGCCUCUGGGGCUGCCGCCACCGCCUUCGCUGCUGAGGACGCUGCCCGGGGAUAGGGCCGGGGAUGGGAGGCCGAGAGGCCCCCCGCCCCCUGCUGCCUGCGUCUGGCCUGGGGAGCAGGGCUUAGCUGCUUGUGAGCAGAGUCCACACCAAGUCGUGUUCACAGUGGCUAAGUUCCGCCCCCCGGGACCCCGCCUCCUCUGGCCCUGCCGCCUGCCUGUCCCACUGUCCGGGCCUCCCUGGGCUCUGCCUCCCGUGCCUACUGAGCUGAAACACAGUUGAUUUGUGCAGACUGGCUCAGUUCAGCAGGAACAGGAGUCGAGCCCCCUCGAAGCCUGUGCAGCCUGCCUUCCUCGGGUGGGCUGAUUCCUAGGGGAAAAGCUGAGGACCCAGACCCAGACCUAUGUUGGGCGGAGGGACUUGGGGGAGGGGCAAUAUAGCCUGGAAUGGGGUGGGUGGACCCAGCUGUCUGCUGUAGGCGCCCUCCCCCAACUCCGUACUUGGGGGUCCUGCCCCCUGCACAGUCCUACUUCCGCUGAGGCUGGACAGAACUCCUAGGGAGAAUGGGCAGGUGGGUGGGUGGCCCUCCCACUAGAAAGGGAAGCCAUCUGGGUCCCUAUCCCCUCCCAGUAACCCUCCCAGCCUGGAGCCUUGGCCUUUUCUCUCCCAGGCCUGGUGGGACGUGGGCCAGGCCUGUACCUUCCUUCCCAGCAGCCAGUUACUCAAGAGGAAGCUGCCCUGGGCCCCCAGACCGUUAAAUGCCAACUCCGGCUUCCGGAACCAGGCUGGCCUGACCUGAGUGUGCCUGGCCUCUUCUCCCUGAACCCUGUGGCAUCCUAACUUUGGGGGUGUGGGGAGAGCUGUCACACUCUCCGGGCACGUGGAGCAGGGAGCAAGGUCCCUUGUGGGCCCAGAAAGGACACAGAUGGGCCUGUUGAGUCCGCCGGUGGCCCUGCAGUGCACGUGCUAGUGCAAGACCGGAGACCGUCCAGUAUCAGAUGGGAUGGACCCUGAGUGCGACCAGGCAGAGAGAAGCCCCCUAGGCUGUCAGGGCUGGCCCAGGGUACCCUUUCACCCAGGGAUAGGGGCAUACUUCAGCUCGGGGCAGGGUCUGUGCUGUGUGUUGCUGCUGUCCAAUUAAAUAAAACCUGCCUCCUACCUCAUUCCUGAAGGUCUGGUAGUUUGUGAUUUACUCCCUCCUGUCGCUGGAGUUUUGGCUUUUCAGGUGGGGAGGACCGAUGGGCUUGAAUUUACUGUCCCUGCACCCUGAACUCCUGACUUCCCAGGAUCCCUAUGCCUGUCCCACCUGUUGUGAGGAAGGUCGCAAGUUUAGUCACACAGGGCAGAGAAAGCUGGAAAGGUGACCUUGAGGGAUGUCCUAGGAUGGGGGCGGGAGGGAGGGGUGACUCUCAGGGAGGGCUGAUGCAAUGGCAGGGAGAGCUGUUCUAGGAAGAAUCUAGAUGGGGGUCAUAAUGAGGAGUACCCCAAGCCCAGGGCCUAUUGAACCCAACCUCAGGUGGCAGUGGGGGGUGACCCCGAGGGAAACUCUGGGCAGAGAUGGCUGGGGCCCGAGGGUCUUGAGCUGGUGACAUUUGGGGGUGGCGGAGAGAUAAGGGAGAAUUCAAGCCUCAAGUUAGACUUGACCUGCUGGUGUCCGAGAAUGCUGGCAGGGAACUCGUGCUUGAGGUGUGUGUGGGUUACGAGGGAAUCCCCGGGCCCAAUGGGGACAUUUUUGGAUGACUUUGAGAGCUGAGGGGCAUAAGAAGGGAGCCCCAAGUCCGAGGACGGCAUUUGUAGGCAGCUGAGACUGUAAGGGGUGAAGCAAAGGCUCGGCACCGAGCCUGCCCCCUCUACCCUCAAUCACGCCUCUAGGCGGCGCAAAAGAACACGCCGGCACAUACCUGCGGGAACGGGGGAGGCGGGGCAGAUGGGCCCGUCUCCAAUGGGCCCUCUCGGGCAGAGGGCAGUGCCACGAACCAAUCGCUGUGCCCAGCGCUGCCGAUGCCCCGCCCACGACCGCGCGCGCGCUGUCUCGGCGCCCUCUGGCGGUCAGCUCCACCCAGCACUGCUCUGUACCCCGCCUGGCCGCGAAGCCCGUCCUCGCUUGCCCCGGCCCUGACAGUGACCCAGACACACUUGUUCAUCUAUCCGCCACACCCUAAAGACAAGGGGGGGGGGGGGGGGGCGGCGUCCUGCUUCUCAGGAAACUAGAGAAAGAAGGCAACCGAAGGCCUUCUUUGCGGCCCCCCAGUCGGCUCACUCCAUUUGGGGACUGGAAGCCUCCACAGCGGCGUAGGAAUCCAGACACGCCCAGGCCGCGCCCCUCGCUGACCACACCCACCUGCAUUUCUCGCCGACGCCAGAACCCGCCCACCAAGGCCGAGUCGAAGCCCGGGAUUCCUGUCUUGUGUGUGUCUCCCCCACCCAGGUGCACCCAGCACCUGUCUGGGUCCCCGCUUUCAGCAACUUGGAGACAAGUACCUCCAACAUUGGUGUCUGGAGGCAGGGCACCCCCUAGUGGCCAUUCCCAGCAGUUCAAGGGCCAUGCUGUCCGAGGUGGGCAGGGUCAGUGGCUUCACCAUGGUACUGAUCAGGCUCUGCCUUUCCUUACGCUUUGGAACCCCACUAUUCUCGGAAAUGAUAUUCUUCCCGACUCGUAGGGCCACUGUGACACGUGUUGUAACAGGUGACAGGUAUAAAGCUCUCCUCUUGGGGCUUGCCCAGCUCUCAGCCCUAUUAUCUACACUACUGCGAACGGACGAAACCAGCAAGCACUCCCAUUCCACCCCUCGCUUGAAGUUGUGCCGGGAGCAGCCAAGGCUGGAGUUUUUCUGUCCAGGGAUCAGGUGGUCCUGGUUCGGGGCGGGGGGGGGGGGAAGGGGACACACCUCAGUCUCAAAAGCUGUGUUAUUAAAAAAAAAGAAAAAGAAAAAGAAAAAGGAAAUACAA
Long non-coding RNA from Panthera uncia (snow leopard), 4425 nucleotides. RefSeq lists it as uncharacterized. NCBI's taxonomy places the organism in Eukaryota, Metazoa, Chordata, Mammalia, Carnivora, Felidae. The transcript is spliced from 2 exons. The record is from RefSeq and is a predicted model, not a curated record.